UGCGCUAGAUGGUAUACCCUACAACUCUGAAAUUCCAUGGCCCAUAUGGAAUCUAGUAUUGACUCGGCGGGGAAGCCUCCAACCCAAUUGUGCUGCAAGGGUUUGAGUCUCUAAAUCUGCUAUGCCACACAGCCGUCGCCAGCGUAAAAAUAAUAUAUCCGGAUCGGCAAAUCACAGUUUUAGGCUAAGAGUUACUUGAAUGCUAGCCCUCUUCAGGCAACCAC
This 224-nucleotide long non-coding RNA is filed under the name Capsicum annuum. RNAcentral's name for it is "long non-coding RNA (CANN_LNC014143)". Lineage: Eukaryota; Viridiplantae; Streptophyta; Magnoliopsida; Solanales; Solanaceae. The record is from RNAcentral.